This 2120-nucleotide ribosomal RNA is filed under the name human gut metagenome. RNAcentral describes it as "bacterial LSU rRNA". It matches the Rfam family "Bacterial large subunit ribosomal RNA", at positions 14 to 2163 of the family's 2925-position model. The record is from RNAcentral.
AGGGCGUACAGUGGAUGCCUUGGCACCGAAAGACGAUGAAGGACGCGACUACCUGCGAUAAUCCUCGGCGAGCUGGAAGUAAGCUUUGACCCGAGGGUCUCCGAAUGGGGAAACCCGAUGCGCGUUAUGGCGCACCACCUGACCGGCCAAUACAUAACCGGCAGGAGACAACCCUGGGAAUUGAAACAUCUAAGUACCAGGAGGAAAAGAAAGAGAAUUCGAUUCCGUCAGUAGCGGCGAGCGAAAACGGAAGAGCCUAAACCACCUUGAGUGGGGUUCGGGAUCACAUCAGUAUAAGUAGACACAAGGAGAAUUACCUGGAAUGGUAAGCCAAAGAGGGUGAAAGCCCCGUACCUGUAAAAAAGCUACUUGUCGUGAUUUCCAGAGUACGGCGGGACACGUGAAAUCCUGUCGGAAUGUGCGGAGACCACUCCGUAAGGCUAAAUACUCUUCGGUGACCGAUAGUGAACCAGUACCGUGAGGGAAAGGUGAAAAGAACCCCGGGAGGGGAGUGAAAAGAAUCUGAAACCGUAUGCCUACAAAAAGUCAGAGGGCGUUAAAGCCUGAUGACGUGCCUAUUGAAGAAUGAGCCGGCGAGUUAUGAACACAUGCGAGGUUAAGGAGAAGAUCCGGAGCCGAAGCGAAAGCGAGUCUUAACAGGGCGACAGUAUGUGUUUGUAGACCCGAAACCCGACGAUCUAGCCAUGAUCAGGAUGAAGUAAGGGUAAAACCUUAUGGAGGUCCGAACCGACGUUCGUUGAAACGCCCGCGGAUGAAUUGUGGCUCGUGGUGAAAUUCCAAUCGAGUCGGGUAAUAGCUGGUUCUCCCCGAAAUAGCUUUAGGGCUAGCCUUGGGACAUUGUUUAGUGGGGGUAAAGCACUGAAUAUGAGCGAGCCGCGCCAAGCGGUAUCAAUCAUAAUCAAACUCUGAAUCCCAUUAGAUGUACCCCAGGAGUCAGACUACGGGAGAUAAGUUCCGUGGUCAAGAGGGCAACAGCCCAGACCGCCGAUUAAGGUCCCUAAAUUCACGCUAAGUGUCAAAGGAUGUAGAGAUACUCAAACAGCUAGGAUGUUGGCUCAGAGGCAGCCAUCAUUUAAAGAAUGCGUAACAGCUCACUAGUCAAGUGUCUCCGCGCCGAAAAUUUACCGGGGCUAAGCGUGAUACCGAAAUCGCGGAUGAAUCCUAAAAAUUCGUGGUAGGGGAGCGUUCUGUUUGCAGUGAAGCCAUAUCGUGAGGAGUGGUGGAGCGUACAGAAGCGAGAAUGCCGGCGUAAGUAACGAUAAAGGGUGAGAAUCCCUUUCACCAAUUGACUAAGGUUUCCUGGGCAAGGUUCGUCCUCCCAGGGUUAGUCGGGACCUAAGGCGAGGCCGACAGGCGUAGUCGAUGGACAGCAGGUUGAUAUUCCUGCACCCGAGCACGCAGUGAUGCAAUGACGAAAACGGCUAUGCUCACCUCCGAUCGGAAGUGGAGGGCAGAGCGUAGGAGUCGAUUCCUUGUUAAGUACGGGAAUCAUUAAGACAAAGACGUGCGGUAUGAAAGUCGCGAGACGAGUAAGAAACAGCAGACGCCGAUUUCCAAGAAAAGUUGCUAACGUUAAACGUGUUCGGCCCGUACCGAGAACGGACACACGUGGUCAAGGAGAAUAUCCUGAGGUGAGCGAGAUAACUGUUGUUAAGGAACUCUGCAAAAUAACUUCGUAAGUUAGCAAGAAGAAGUGCUCCAGCGAUGGAGCCGCAGCGAAUCGGCCCAAGUAACUGUUUACCAAAAACACAGCUCUAUGCUAAGUCGCAAGACGAUGUAUAUGGGGUGACGCCUGCCCGGUGCCGGAAGGUUAAAAGGAGAGGUUAGGAGCAAUCCGAAGCUUUGAAUUGAAGCCCCGGUGAACGGCGGCCGUAACUAUAACGGUCCUAAGGUAGCGAAAUUCCUUGUCAGGUAAGUUCUGACGUGCACGAAUGGUGUAAUAAUUUGGGCGCUGUCUCGACAGCAGACUCGGUGAAAUCUUAAUACCGGUGAAGAUGCCGGUUACCCGCGACUAGACGGAAAGACCCCAUGGAGCUUUACUAUAACUUAAUAUUGAGUAAAUGCGAAUCUUGUACAGUAUAGGUGGGAGACUUUGAAGU